CCUACGGGUGGCAGCAGUGGGGAAUAUUGGGCAAUGGGCGCAAGCCUGACCCAGCAACGCCGCGUGAAGGAAGAAGGCUUUCGGGUUGUAAACUUCUUUUAAGAGGGAAGAGCAGAAGACGGUACCUCUUGAAUAAGCCACGGCUAACUACGUGCCAGCAGCCGCGGUACUAAGUAGGUGGCAAGGGUUGUCCGGAUUUACUGGGGGUAAAGGGCGUGCAGCCGGGAAGACAAGUCAGAUGUGAAAUCCGGCGGCUUAACCGCGGAACUGCGUUUGAAACUGUUUUUCUUGAGUACCGGAGAGGUCAUCGGAAUGCCUUGUGUAGCGGUGAAAUGCGUAGAUAUAAGGAAGAACACCAGUGGCGAAGGCGGAUGACUGGACGGCAACUGACGGUGAGGCGCGAAAGCGUGGGGAGCAAACAGGAUUAGAUACCCGAGUAGUC
Molecule: ribosomal RNA, 442 nt
Filed under: uncultured bacterium
Lineage: Bacteria
Description: partial 16S ribosomal RNA
Rfam family: Bacterial small subunit ribosomal RNA
Source: RNAcentral